UAGAGUAUUUAUUAUUAUUAUUAUAAAUUAUAUUUAAAUAUUAAAAAAAAUAAUUUUAAUUUUAUUAGUAAGUAUGAAUAAAUUAAUUUGAUUAUAGAAAAUUAGUAUUGAAAAAGUUUUGAUCUAUCUAGAUUAUAGAAAAAUUAAAUUUUUGUACCUUGUGUAUCAGGGUUUAUUAAAUAUUUUUUAUAAAAUAUAAAUUUCUCGAACUUAAAAGAUCUAUACUAAUAUAAUUUUUAUUGUAGAAUAAAUAUUAUGCAUAUUAGUAUAGAAGUGAAAUAUUAUUCGAUUUUAAAUAUAUCUAGUUUUUAAAGAAAAAAAUUUAAUUUUAUUUUUAUUUUAAUAUUUAUUUUAAUUUAUAAAUUAAUAUUAGUAAAAUGGGAUACUUUAGGGGAUGAGCUUUUAAGUAAACAAAUAAAAAUUAUAUAUUUUAUAUUUAGUAAAUAGGAUUAUAAGUUUUUAUUUUUAAUAGUGUUUUAUAACUGUCUAAAUUUUGUUUUUUUAUUUGUAUGUAUAUGAAUUUUAUAUUUUUUAUUUAAAUAUGAGUUGUAAUAAGAAAAAUUUAGUAAUAAUGAUAAAAUUAGUAUAAAAAUUUGUUUUAUAAAUUUAUAUUUUUUAGGUUUUAUAAAGGAAUUCGGCAAAUUUAUUUCUCACCUGUUUAUCAAAAACAUGUCCUUUUGAUUAGAAUCUAAGGUCUAGCCUGCUCAAUGAGUUUUAAAUGGCCGCAGUAUCCUGACUGUGCAAAGGUAGCAUAAUCAUUAGUUUUUUAAUUGAAAGCUGGAAUGAAAGGUUGAAUGAGGAAGUAGCUGUCUCUAUAAAAAUUAUAUAGAAUUUUAUUUUUAAGUAAAAAAGCUUAAAUUUAAAUAAAAGACGAGAAGACCCUAUAGAGUUUUAUACUCAUAAGAUACAUUUUUUUAUAGUAUUUUAAAUUUUGUAUUUUUAAAGUAUUUAAUUGGGGUGAUUGGAAAAUUAAAUAAACUUUUCUUGUUUUAGUACAUUUAUUUAUGAAUUUAUGAUCCUUAAAUUGAGAUUAUAAGGUAAAAUUACCUUAGGGAUAACAGCGUAAUUUUUUUUGAGAGUUCUUAUCGAAAAAAAAGAUUGCGACCUCGAUGUUGGAUUAAAGUAAACCUUUGGUGUAGAAGCUAAAUUGGUUGGGUCUGUUCGACCCUUAAAAUUUUACAUGAUCUGAGUUCAAACCGGUGUAAGCC
This 1208-nucleotide ribosomal RNA is filed under the name Ceutorhynchus ibukianus. Its description in RNAcentral is "partial 16S ribosomal RNA". The stretch from base 1054 to 1208 matches the Rfam family "Archaeal large subunit ribosomal RNA", at positions 2542 to 2696 of the family's 2987-position model. The record is from RNAcentral. Lineage: Eukaryota; Metazoa; Arthropoda; Insecta; Coleoptera; Curculionidae.